AGGACGAACGCUGGCGGCGUGCUUAACACAUGCAAGUCGAGCGGUAAGGCUCCUUCGGGAGUACACGAGCGGCGAACGGGUGAGUAACACGUGAGCAAUCUGCCCUUCUCAUCGGAAUAACCAUUGGAAACGAUGGCUAAUGCCGAAUAUGACCUCGGAUCACAUGUUCUGAGGUGGAAAGCUCCGGCGGAGAAGGAUGAGCUCGCGGCCUAUCAGCUUGUUGGUGAGGUAAUGGCUCACCAAGGCAUUGACGGGUA
Molecule: ribosomal RNA, 257 nt
Filed under: uncultured bacterium
Lineage: Bacteria
Description: partial small subunit ribosomal RNA
Rfam family: Bacterial small subunit ribosomal RNA
Source: RNAcentral